Bombus pascuorum is the source of this 881-nucleotide long non-coding RNA. RefSeq lists it as uncharacterized. Lineage: Eukaryota; Metazoa; Arthropoda; Insecta; Hymenoptera; Apidae. The transcript is spliced from 3 exons. The record is from RefSeq and is a predicted model, not a curated record.
UAUUCCUAGAGUAAGUAUUAAGGAACUAGAAGCGGUUUAAAAAGCGAGCACUUAAAGGGACUCACAUGAUGGUAGAAAGUGGUGUGGCAGUGGCGAACGUUCUCAAUCGCGCUGGGCAACGCAGCUGUUCGAUGUCCCAGGUAAGUUGAACCAGGUGAAGUCGACGUACGCCUUUAUAUUACCUUGGAGCCCGGACAGUUUGGUCUUGACGCCACCUCCAAUAUCUGUGCUCUCUCGUCUCGUUCCUUUCUUUUCCUCGUGUCAAGUGCUUCGAUCUUAAGUCCCCACCUCUCUCUUUCUCACUCUCUGCUAACUUCAGUUAGGGACAACCGAGCGUAGAUAGUGACAGUCGGAUUACUGGAAGGCCGGUUUGGCAAGCUUUCCGAUACGAAGUUAAGUAGACCUGGAGAUGGAAAUCUGGCGUUUAUUACUAUGGUAAUUAGCCUUAAUUAAAAAAAAAUAUUAAAUAAUAUAAAGAGAGAAAUAUUAGAAAAUUAGAAAUGGUAAAAUUUUUAGUUCCUUAGAAUUUCCAAACUUUUUCUUUUAAAUCAAGUGUAAUGUCAGUAUUUUUUAAUAUUUACAUACGCCUGUUAUCACAGUAAUUAUAUUAUUAUAAAAAUUAUUGGACUGAAAUAUACAAUGGAUGACAUUUGAUACAAAAAAGUGCCUAGUUAUUCGACUAGUCUUGGUUUCAAACUGGUGUACAUAAUCAAUAAAUAAAUUUCUUCUUCGGUCGACCAUGUUCCUGGGCUUGCAAGCGACAUUUCAAUUUAGAGGUAACGUUUAACUCUCUGCGUUCAAAUUUCCAUCUCCAAUUUUUAAAAAAUGAAGGUGUCACGAGAAGACCGCGGUAUGCGAGAUCCAUAAGUCCUCCCCAACAA